Molecule: RNase P RNA, 382 nt
Filed under: Porticoccaceae bacterium
Lineage: Bacteria; Pseudomonadati; Pseudomonadota; Gammaproteobacteria; Cellvibrionales; Porticoccaceae
Description: RNase P RNA component class A
Rfam family: Bacterial RNase P class A
About the family: Ribonuclease P (RNase P) is a ubiquitous endoribonuclease, found in archaea, bacteria and eukarya as well as chloroplasts and mitochondria. Its best characterised activity is the generation of mature 5'-ends of tRNAs by cleaving the 5'-leader elements of precursor-tRNAs.
Source: RNAcentral
CGAGUUGACUAGGCAGUCGCUGUGCCGUUUUCUCGAUAAUUCACUUGUGUGUUGUCGGGUUUGGUGCAGAGGAAAGUCCGGGCUCCGCAGGGAAGAGUGCCAGGUAACGCCUGGGGGGCGCAAGCCUACGGAAAGUGCCGCAGAGAGCAGACCGCCGAUGGUUCGCUCGCGAAUCAGGUAAGGGUGAAAGGGUGCGGUAAGAGCGCACCGCGCUGCUGGCAACAGCAGUGGCAGGGUAAACCCCACUCGGAGCAAGACCAAAUAGGUUUCCACUGGCGUGUCCCGCGCUGGAAACGGGUAGGUCGCAAGAGGCAGGCGGUGACGUCUGUCCCAGAUGAAUGACUGUCCACGACAGAACCCGGCUUAUCGGUCGACUCACUAA